Long non-coding RNA from Oreochromis niloticus (Nile tilapia), 159 nucleotides. RefSeq lists it as uncharacterized. Lineage: Eukaryota; Metazoa; Chordata; Actinopteri; Cichliformes; Cichlidae. The record is from RefSeq and is a predicted model, not a curated record. The transcript has 3 exons.
UAAAUAGUGGCCAUCUGAGCAUCCCAGAAUCGCGUACCUGUUAUCUCCUUUCGGUCACCUGACUUCCCCCGGUGUUGCAGAGAUCACCCGUGGAUUACCUUCCUGAAGCCUCCAUCGUGGCUGGUCGUAGCUGCAGAAGCCUCCUAUGAGCCACUCUGU